GACAUCAUCAAUCUGAUAAAUACCCAGGAAGUGCUGGGCUAUCCCUGUUUAGCUGCAUGGGACCACAUGGGAAACUGAACAAACAGAGCCCGACCGCGAUCUUCAGGUGGAGGUCGGAGCAGGCCGUGCAUGAAAGAGGACGGCGGUGGUUGUGGUGACGAUACAGUCCGAUAGUAUUGGCUUGGCGUCAUGGACGUCAGGUGGUAGCAGUGCCAGAUCACCUUGCUGAAGGUUGGGAGGAGCUCAGUCUACUCGAGAGCCUGGCUUCUGCUGCCGGGACACGACCUCCUGGGCUUAUAGCACAGAAGGGGGGAGGGGGGAGCGGGGAGCCAUAGUGUUGUGAGUCUAUGCAUCAUAUCCAGUGAUUUUUUUUUUAUUUUUUAUUUUACUACUCAGCACCUGCAUAAGGGAUGUGCUUGUGUUUGUUGACUUUUACUGGACUGUGAAGGAAAAAAACAACUUUAGUAAUGCUCCUUCUUUAAACUGGGAUGUAUAUCAAUUUUAGCCUGCUGUUGCUUCCUGUCUUCUAGUUGCAUCAAUUCUUGUUUUAAGUCCAUGUCACUUUUUUUUUUUGACAAGGUUUUUCAGGCAAUCCUGUGCCAGCACUGAUUCAGCCUCUCUCUCAUUCAUAUGCAGUCUUGGAAAAAAAUAAAUCAAUGCAGCAAAUGGAA
Labrus bergylta (ballan wrasse) is the source of this 671-nucleotide long non-coding RNA. RefSeq lists it as uncharacterized. Lineage: Eukaryota; Metazoa; Chordata; Actinopteri; Labriformes; Labridae. The record is from RefSeq and is a predicted model, not a curated record.